This 526-nucleotide ribosomal RNA is filed under the name uncultured bacterium. Its description in RNAcentral is "bacterial SSU rRNA". It matches the Rfam family "Bacterial small subunit ribosomal RNA", at positions 572 to 1096 of the family's 1533-position model. The record is from RNAcentral.
CGGGACGGUUUGAUAAGUCUGAAGUUAAAAGGCUGUGGCUCAACCAUAGUUCGCUUUGGAAACUGUCAAACUUGAGUGCAGAAGGGGAGAGUGGAAUUCCAUGUGUAGCGGUGAAAUGCGUAGAUAUAUGGGGGAACACCGGUGGCGAAAGCGGCUCUCUGGUCUGUAACUGACGCUGAGGCUCGAAAGCGUGGGGAGCGAACAGGAUUAGAUACCCUGGUAGUCCACGCCGUAAACGAUGAGUGCUAGGUGUUGGAUCCUUUCCGGGAUUCAGUGCCGCAGCUAACGCAUUAAGCACUCCGCCUGGGGAGUACGACCGCAAGGUUGAAACUCAAAGGAAUUGACGGGGCCCGCACAAGCGGUGGGGCAUGUGGUUUAAUUCGAAGCAACGCGAAGAACUUUACCAGGUCUUGACAUCCCGAUGCUAUUUCUAGAGAUAGAAAGUUACUUCGGUACAUCGGUGACAGGUGGUGCAUGGUUGUCGUCAGCUCGUGUCGUGAGAUGUUGGGUUAAGUCCCGCAACGAG